This 1080-nucleotide long non-coding RNA is filed under the name Physcomitrium patens. RNAcentral describes it as "long non-coding RNA (PPAT_LNC002447)". Lineage: Eukaryota; Viridiplantae; Streptophyta; Bryopsida; Funariales; Funariaceae. The record is from RNAcentral.
AAAAUUGUGGUGACAAUAGUAAUAUCCUAUAUAUAUAUAUAUAUAUAUAUACAUUUAGAUAAUUAAAAUAAGUCAUUCUUAAUUCUUUAAAAAUAUAAUAGUUUUAUGAUUGCAACAUAGUUUUAAUUUUGAAGCAAUCUUAAUUCAUAAUAUAAUUUUGAGUUUUAUUGUAUACUAAUUUAAUGUAUUUAUGUAGUAAAAUUUGUUUUUAUUUUUAAAAAAUUAAUUGGUGCAAUGAAAUAAAGGCCUUUAAAAAAAUAGAUUAGAAUUUUAAUAAUGAAUAUGUAUGUGUGUGUAUGUAUGUAUAUGUAUAUAUUCACUUGUUUGUCUUUGUUAUUUUAUGAUUUGUGAAUUAUAAGAUUCCAAUAAACUUAAUCAUAUAUCUCAAUUUUAUCUUAACAAUUACAAUUUGUAAACCGAAAAGACAAGAAACAAAAAUAAAAAAUGAAAAUGAAAUUAAUGAACUACACUUUUUAAACUAUCUUUGAAAUUUUUUCUUCUCAGAAUAAGAAUUGAACUUAGGUAUGAUAAAUUCAAAGUACGUAUGAAAUGUGCUUAAUGUCUAUUUACUUUAAAAACUACCACGAGAAAGAAUAUGACAAGAAAUGAUAAAUUUUCAACUGAUCAUUUUUGAGUAACAGAAAAUUAAUUUUUAGUAUUUGUGGUUUAUCUAACAUUAUCAUAAGUAUUCAAAUCCAACUGUAUUGAUGGUUGGCUGCCAUGCUUCAAAACUUCUGAAAUAGUCUAUUACAUUCAUGAAGAAUAUAAGAUACUGUAAUAUUAUAAAAUUUUAAACCCUUAUAUUUUUAUUCAUUAUAAGAAUAAUAAACUUUGAUAAAAUUGUUGUGUAUCAUAUGUUAACGUGGAUUUAAAAAAAUAUAUUUUUUCAAUAUGAAUUUGUUUUAACACAAGUUUAUAUCAUUGGGAAAAGAAGUUCAUUUUAGCGAGUUGACGACAGUAUUUGUUGAAGUCAAAUGAAGACAUGCAGAUAUUGUCUGGCGACAAAGGAAAGUAUAUCAAAUUUGCCACGUGACCAAAAAGUACCUUAAAAGACUAUGAAAAAAACAUGAAAUUUUAAUU